This 77-nucleotide transfer RNA is filed under the name Microgenomates group bacterium RBG_16_45_19. RNAcentral describes it as "tRNA-Val". It matches the Rfam family "tRNA". From Rfam's summary of the family: Transfer RNA (tRNA) molecules are approximately 80 nucleotides in length. Their secondary structure includes four short double-helical elements and three loops (D, anti-codon, and T loops). Further hydrogen bonds mediate the characteristic L-shaped molecular structure. tRNAs have two regions of fundamental functional importance: the anti-codon, which is responsible for specific mRNA codon recognition, and the 3' end, to which the tRNAs corresponding amino acid is attached (by aminoacyl-tRNA synthetases). tRNAs cope with the degeneracy of the genetic code in two manners: having more than one tRNA (with a specific anti-codon) for a particular amino acid; and 'wobble' base-pairing, i.e. permitting non-standard base-pairing at the 3rd anti-codon position. The record is from RNAcentral.
GGGCGGUUAGCUCAGUUGGUUAGAGCGCUUCGUUGACAUCGAAGAGGUCAGAGGUUCGACUCCUCUAUCGCCCACCC